This 1221-nucleotide long non-coding RNA is filed under the name Equus asinus (donkey). RNAcentral's name for it is "lncRNA (ENSEASG00005024256.1)". Lineage: Eukaryota; Metazoa; Chordata; Mammalia; Perissodactyla; Equidae. The record is from RNAcentral.
GACUGACCUGCUCCAGCUGGGACUUAACUGUGAAUGUUUGGGAAUAGAAUCCAGUUGGCCAGGUUUGGAUCAGAUGCCUUUCCCUGAUCCCAUUGCUUUGCCGGGUAGGAAGGCUCUCAUCCCUAUAGAUCAAGGGGCAGUUUCCAGAGGAAAGAGCAGUCGUUGUGAACAGCGCUGAUGCUAGAAGAACAUCCACAGCUCUGGUACGUUGGGACCUUCUCAACAACAGUGUUAGUGUCAGUGGAUGGACUUCAGUGCUCAGUGGGAGACAGCAGCAGGAGCCAGAGGAGGCAGCGGGACUUGCUCAGCAGACGCAAACAUACUCAGAAGGAGGGGAAGUCACAUUCAUCAAACGCUUUUGGGCCCUAAGGCAGCUGAGGUACCUAAAGAACACAGCAUCGUAGCCCAGCAUUCUACAUCAUCUCUGGGAGCUGUUAGUUCCUAUUGAGGAGGGGAGACAAGAAAGGCUUAAAGAUGAGAUGGAUACGAGAAUCAACUGGCCCUGCGCUAACAUCAUGCCCAUCUUCCUCUACUUUAUACGUGGGACACCUACCACAGAAUGGCUUGCCAAACGGUGCCAUGACCGCACCCGGGAUCCGAACUGGUAAACCCCGGGCCACCAAGAAGCAGAACGUGUGAACUUAAGCACUGCGUCACUGGGCCAGCCUGCAGAUUUUAAAUUAUAGCAAAGCCUUGCUCAUUUUAGGAACUGGGAGGGCUUUGCUUAUGGGGCAUGUUUAAAAAAUGUGUUUUACUCUUGAUUUUUCCAGAGUAGAAUCUCUUGUCAAUUAGGAUAUAGGUAUUAAUAAAUAAAAUGAAGCAUUUCAAUAAAAAGUUUAAUCCAUGGAAGGCCAGUUCUAUAUAAAAGUCUCUCAUUAUCAGAAAGAGAAUUCUGCCUAGAGGAAAGAUUGGUAAAUUUUUCUUUCUUUAAAUGUAAAUUUUCUUUCUUUUAUUUUAGUUUCUUUUGCUUAAUGGUGUGGAUCCAAUCACUACUCUAAAAGAAUAGCUUUGCCCAGAAUUCUCAUUUCACUAAAAGUAUUUGAAUACGAUGAUUUUAAUCUGAACUGUUCUUGCUCUAAGAAAUUCCACAGAUGAAAAAAAUGUCACCUCAAAUGCAAUGAGAAAUAUCUAGGCCAUUUCAGAAUUACGAAAUCUGAAUCUGUAAAACCUGGAUUAAUAUAGUUUCACUAUACCUUGCAUCAUUAAAGAUUUGAUUUUAAA